This 81-nucleotide transfer RNA is filed under the name Bifidobacterium sp. RNAcentral's name for it is "tRNA-Leu". It matches the Rfam family "tRNA". From Rfam's summary of the family: Transfer RNA (tRNA) molecules are approximately 80 nucleotides in length. The record is from RNAcentral. RNAcentral also lists the same sequence under 2 other names. Lineage: Bacteria; Bacillati; Actinomycetota; Actinomycetes; Bifidobacteriales; Bifidobacteriaceae.
GCCCCCGUGGCGGAAUCGGUAGACGCAACUGACUUAAAAUCAGUCGCCUUUGGCUUGUGGGUUCGAGUCCCACCGGGGGUA